CCGCCCUGAUGGGCGACUCAAAUUCGUAUAUUUAUUCGCCUCCUCUUCUCUGAAUGUUCCUAAGGGGAUCAUUGCCGCUCGCUUGGCCCUCGUCGGGUCGAACUCUUAGCCCGCCGACACGGCAGGCUUAACAUCAGACCUCUCCGCAGGAGUCGCUGCCUGGACCUUUCCCCGCGGACCCUCCCACUCUCGGGGCAGGCCGGGCCUGGGACAGCGGGGUGCUCCGCGGCAGUUGCUCAGCCCAACAAACCCUUACGUCGGGUUUAGCCCGCCAUCUGAGGCAGGUUCCGAUUUAUGUCCGCUCUCUGGCUAUCGCUUGUUCAUGGCGCUCCCUUUCUACUUUUCCUGAAACUUUUCUCUCAGUUUCUCACGAACUUUAACGGCCCUCCCUUCGCCUACCCCCGGCCGCUACGCGGGGCCGGCAUACGCCUUGCCGAGAACGACCAGGCGGCGAGCCGAGCCCCACACCUGACAACAGCCGGCGCGGCCGCCGGUUUCGGGCCCCCGGGAUCCACGGGGGCCACCGGCAGCAGCCGUGCCGGCCAUGGGCGCGCGGCUUUCCGCACAGGGAGCCCCGUGACGCGACGUUGCCGGACGCCCGAGGGGUAGGCUGGGCAGAACUUUGUGCCUGGUUCCUCAGACUGUACGCACGCUCAGCUGCCCAAGACUUUGGACCCUACGCGUUCCUUCGACAGCUCGCCCUCCGGGAGUGCCCGUCGUGGCGACCGGCUGGGACUAGAAGACACUUGCCAAGCUCAACCUCGUGCGGACAGCCCUGGGCUUUCUACCACUUGAUACGGACUCGCCCCGCUUCGGUCUCCUUUGAGACCACCUCCGAGCUUCGCUAUGACUGCACGUUUAGCAAGCAGACUGAACCCAUAUCCCCACUUUCUGAUUAGCUUGGUAGAUCAUCGACCAAGGGAGGCUUCAAAGGGAGUCCUAUCGACCUCGGGUAAUGUUCAAGAUAGUCCAUUUCGGUUACUAAUCUCCUUAACCCCUGCGUUGCAGGAGCUGGAUAAGAGUUUGAAAUUUAUCCAUCCUACCGCGCCGACGAAGCCACUCGGCACGGUACCUUAGCCCACGAGGUUCACCCGGUAAAAACCAUUCGUCUUGACCGCUACGCCCUACUUGGCCUUCGGCCCAAUGCCACGGGUUGACGCGCGAUUGGAUCUUGGGUGUUUCCCACAACCAGCUAAUUCUGUCGUCCUGCCACCAGUACCUUCAGCUUUAGGCGAUUCCUCACACAUUGUUGAGUGGACGGCUUAGUUGAUCGGGGCUUUUACCUACCGCGACUUCGCGCGCUGGGUGUGGGCCGGUAGACCCGCUCGCGGUACGGGGCUACUCAUCCUCCCGCGCCGCCGGCGACGUUUUGGACCCCGCGCUCGGGCCCGCCUCGCCGGCAGCCACGUCUAGAACCACCAUCAUCGUUUAUAAGUUUACUCUUGAAACUUCCGGCUUCUCCUCUUUCCAAGGUACACUUGCUGUGAACGUGUACCCAUUCGGCUAGGAUUCCCUGCCCCAUUGGGACCGUCUAUCACGCUAGUGCGCGUAGGGGGCUUUCCCUUAGCCCAAUUCUAAAGGGCUCGGCCCUACACCGCCAACUGUCGCUGCAAUCCUUCAGGGCUCUGCGGCCGCCCCCGGAGCCCUUCUCAAUAGAAAAGACGAAUUGCCGGACGGUUGGGACCUUUGCCAAGUCGACCUCCAUCCCAGGUCACCGGCCUUCUCGUGGCGUGUAGCGCGCCACAGGCCACGCGGGGGCCGCCGGGUACUUUUAGGCCUCCUGGUUCAUGGUAAGUGCGGGCCAGCAUGAGUAUUGGCGUAGUCCAGAGGUUCCACUUGUCGGAGACCGGUUACCUUGUUACAUCCGUUCCCUUCAGCCGUUUUGCCUAGGCAUUGAAGCCCUUUUCCUAACCGAGACUCCUGACCUGAGCCCCCAGGGCCGGGGCUUGGGCAGCCAACAGUCGCCUGACGAGCUCUACGAGUGCGCCGCUCUCGCCCAGCGGCGCACGGCCGGCCCCCUGCCAGGCCCUUAGCGGGGAAGCCCCCGAAAGGGGCUCGUACUUUGUCAGCUGAGUCUUGACCAUGCCUGUUCCCCUUAGGCUGACAAAUUAAUUUUGUUUCGUAACGCUACCAGGAGCGCCUACGACUGCGUUACACUAAAGACGGGUCACGAGACUUACAGUUUCACUUCUUUAAGUUGGUUCGCGCCCAUUUGCCGCCCUCAUUGAUACUGAGAGAAUUCCAUCGGUUUACGGAGCAGUAGAUUAGUCACUGCGCGUACUUACCUAAUUACUCUAAGGGUGACAGGGACAGAUGAUAGGUCGCUUUGGUGUCGGUUCCCUUGCCCGAACCGUCUUAGUCGCCCCUUUCUUCUGGGACAACUCGAACUGAGAUCAGGCUGAAACACUUUACUGAACUCUCCACAUCCUAUUCACCCUCGGGAGUGCCCGCGUUCACUUUAUGGUGAUGAAAAUUGCAAUAAAAUGAAUAAGGCACCCAGCCUUCGCCCCGUACAGGGGAGGAAAACCGAGGUUCCGGGCCAGAAUGGCCCGGCUAGGCCCGCCUUCUAUAACAGUCCACCCCUCAAACCGACCCCAUUGCGUCCCCGGCUAGGCCCGUGUAGACAAUUUUCUAUUGCGUCCACAGGAUUCUACUCGAGUUGCUCUUGUCUUUAGAGCACACCUUGUUUUCCCAUUUUAGAGCAAACUAAGACUAAAGGUCAUGCUUAUGCUUGGCACUUUCGCACCGGAUAGCUAGGAAGUCUAGAAGCCUCAAACUUCGAUCUCCACAGUCUUUUCAAUGGUGUCCCUAUUGACCGAACACCGUCGGUUCGCAAGUAUCGCUACAACGAAAAACUAGGAAGCUACAGCCGAGAAGGAUAGUAACACUUCGUCUUAAGUGGUUCACAACCUAACAAGUGGGUGGUUAUCCCUUGCACUC
Molecule: ribosomal RNA, 2940 nt
Filed under: Triticum aestivum (bread wheat)
Lineage: Eukaryota; Viridiplantae; Streptophyta; Magnoliopsida; Poales; Poaceae
Description: partial small subunit ribosomal RNA
Source: RNAcentral